This 67-nucleotide transfer RNA is filed under the name Schistosoma mansoni. Lineage: Eukaryota; Metazoa; Platyhelminthes; Trematoda; Strigeidida; Schistosomatidae. The record is from RNAcentral.
UCAGUGGCCGAGUGGAUAACGCGAUGGCGUUUGAAGCGAAAAGUACUGGGUUCGAGUCCCAGAAUGA